CCUACGUGAGGCAGCAGUGGGGGAUAUUGCACAAUGGGGGGAACCCUGAUGCAGCGACGCCGCGUGGGUGAAGAAGCGCCUCGGCGCGUAAAGCCCUGUCAGCAGGGAAGAAAAUGACGGUACCUGAAGAAGAAGCCCCGGCUAACUACGUGACAGCAGCCGCGGUAAUACGUCGGGGGCAAGCGUUAUCCGGAUUUACUGGGGGUAAAGUGGGCGCAGACGGCGAUGCAAGCCAGGAGUGAAAGCCCGGGGCCCAACCCCGGGACUGCUCUGGGAACUGGGUGGCUGGAGUGCAGGAGGGGGAGGCGGAAUUCCUGGUGUAGCGGUGAAAUGCGUAGAUAUCAGGAGGAACACCGGUGGCGAAGGCGGCCUGCUGGACUGCAACUGACGUUGAGGCCCGAAAGCGUGGGGAGCAAACAGGAUUAGAUACCCUGGUAGUC
RNAcentral lists this ribosomal RNA (440 nucleotides) under uncultured bacterium. RNAcentral's name for it is "partial 16S ribosomal RNA". It matches the Rfam family "Bacterial small subunit ribosomal RNA", at positions 338 to 795 of the family's 1533-position model. The record is from RNAcentral.